GAAGAAGCAUACAUGACAAAAUGUGGCCACAGCCUUUGUUACAAGUGUACUCAUCAGAUUUCAGAGGACAAUAAUAGAUGUCCCAAGCAUAAUUAUGUUGUGGACAGUAUUGACCAUCUCUAUCCUAAUUUCCUGGUGAAUGAACGCAUUAUUAAACAGAAGCAAAGAUUUGAGAAAAAGAGGUUCAAAUUGGACCACUCAGUGAUUAGCACCAAUGGACACAGAUGGUAAAUAUUUCCAUCUCUUUCUUUAGGU
Molecule: long non-coding RNA, 255 nt
Filed under: Mus musculus (house mouse)
Lineage: Eukaryota; Metazoa; Chordata; Mammalia; Rodentia; Muridae
Description: long non-coding RNA chr3:98846505-98846760
Source: RNAcentral